Long non-coding RNA from Haplochromis burtoni (Burton's mouthbrooder), 1764 nucleotides. RefSeq lists it as uncharacterized. The transcript has 4 exons. The record is from RefSeq and is a predicted model, not a curated record. Lineage: Eukaryota; Metazoa; Chordata; Actinopteri; Cichliformes; Cichlidae.
UGAAAGACCAGCUCUACACAGGAAAACACCAGGAGCUACUUGGAGUUAGCCUGAAAGACAAAGCCCACAGCUCUACGUUUCAUACGAGAGAGAGAAUCCAACAAUGUGCGACCUAGAGAACACUUUCAGAGAGAAAACUGUGGACAAGCCGGUAGAGAUUAAUGAGAAAGAUGCUGUGGAUGUUACAAUGGAAAAACUGGGGAGCAUUAAACACCACAACCUCACAGUAAACUUCACUGAAGAUUGGCCUCAAGUGCUGAGUCACAAAGAUCCAAAUGAUGAAGUUCUAGAUUUUAAAGUUCGAGAACGUGAAGAUUCAGGCUUUGAAGAUCAAGUUGAUGAAGAGCCUUUGAAGUCACAAAGACAGAUGAAGAGUCCAACAGUGGUUUAAGCUGGAGUGAUGAAGCGUUCAUUGAGGAUUGUUGUCCACUUUGUUCACAUGUUUGCACUGAGCCUGCGGUGCUGCAGUGUGGCCACAGCUUCUGUAACGGCUGUGUGCAAGAAUGUGAGAAGUGGAAAAAGUCUUUUAAAUGUUCACUCUGUAACAAAGUCAACAACAACCCAGAGCUUCCAGUUAAUGUUUCCAUGAUGAGUUUGAGUGAAAGCGACAGAGUUGAUCCAUCAGGAGGACAAAGAAAUGUGCAGCUGCAGCCCCUGAAGUUGUCGACUCCUUCAUCUCCAGAGCUUCCACUGUCUGAAGAUCUGACUGAGGAGACUUCAGUGUUUGGCAAACAUAAAGAAAAUGUUCCCCAUGUGCUCAUCAUUAAAUUUGUUGAAACGUUAGUUGUAACGACUGUUGUCACAUUUGGUGAAGCUGAUGAAGACUGAAACCUUUUUAAGUUCAUUUAACUUCAACAUAAUAACCUUGAUGAGAUAUGAGGGUUAAAUGAGCCUGUGCUCCUUCACGACCCUCUCAAACAUUCCUCCUUAUGAAGAUAACUCCUCAUAUGGUUUCUCUUCGUGUAGUGCAUUAACAGGCUGGUGUUAACUCAUCACGAGCUGGUCUUUUUAUGAAAUGGUUUAUUCUGUUGUCUGUAACAGUAUAUUUUGAGGGUUUUUUUUAUCCCUCUUUCUUUCAGAUAAAAAGUAGCACAGUUUAUGUUAAAUAUUCUCUCGUGUUUUUCCUGUUAGUCUUAUUUAUUUGUAGAUCUUACAUCAUUUAAAGUUCUUUUGGCAGUAUCGUGUGUUUUGUAUGCCGUAAAAGUGACAAAGCACAACUUGGACUUUGCUUCCAUCUUGUGUUCAACAAGCACAGCUACAGUGUGCAGGUCUGAGAGUGUGAAACCAAACUGUGAACUAAUAUGUUUUUAACGUCUUUUCAGUGACUGAUGCCUCGCUAAUGCUUUCAUAUGUAAUAUUCUAUUUUGGUAGAAUCAAUUUCUGUCUUCUAUCGGGAAGGAUGAUUUGAUUAUCUUUUAUGUUUUGGUCUGAAGUUGCAUUAAAUAAAAUGUAAAAGCAAAAAUUAAGACUGGAUAUUUUUAAGAAAGCAGAACCAUUCUGAUCUAAACCCAGACGUUCACUCAGAAGCUUUACUCUUAUCUCACUUUUUUGAGAUAAAUGAUGCUGACGAUGACUAAUAAUAUUAUGGUGAUCCUGUAGACUAGGAAAAUGAUGUUAGUCAGGUCUAAUACAAAUCCAUGAAUCACAGGUUUCAGUAAAAGUGAUAUAAUUUGAUACUAGUGUGAUAACAGAAUAUCACACUAACUGUUCAUGUUGUUGGUAAACUGAUGUAUGUAAUCACACUAAAAAAUGUUUUAUAAUCUA